GUGAUAAAUUUUUGUUUGAUCCCCACAAUAAGAGAAAAUUACGCGUUAUAAAUUGUGUUUUGUAUUAAUUAAAUCCCUUCCCAAAAUCGCUCUUUGUUACAUACAGUAUAUUCCCAAUAACAACAUUCCUUUUAUCUAGCAUACCUGCUGUCAAUCAAUACCAUAUAUGGUAGUCGCCUCAUUUCUAAAUUUAAUUUUUAGUUAUUAAUUACUUAAUAGUGAGCUUAAGCAAGUGACGUUUUUGACAACACGGACGUCGACCGGAAGUAAAGUUGGCGUUUUUCACCAAUCACAGCCCUUGACCCAGUCUUCGACGCUACUCAUGUCGUUCGUGUUGUCAAGAACGUCACUUGCUUAAGCUAACUAAUAUCAACCUUUUUCCCGACACACUCUCCUAUUUAGAAACGUACGUUUUGUAAAUAUAUAAACCUAUCUGUCUUAUAAACGAGCUUAUAAACACACGACCGUCUACAUAUAUUCACCGUCUCUACCUAUCAAAGUUCUUCUUCUUCAUGAUCAUAAAUUUUUUCAAUAUCCUUCCUUGCAUCGAUAGCCGCUCUACGCUUCGGUUUGAAUUCCUUUGCAGCAGGAUUCAAUGGAACAGUUUCCUGAUUGUUUUCUUUAUUACAAUGCUGACAGAUGCGCCGGAAUAUCGAUAAUUGGGGGAGAUAUUCAUAUAUUCGUGUUCAGAGACUGUAAAAACAAUCGAUUUCAAAAGAAAUUAAUUGGGCAGAACACGAAUAUAUGAACAUCUGCCUCCCCCCCUCCCCCCACCCCAAUUAUCGAAAUUCCGGCGCCUCUAAAAAUGCAAUUCCAAAGGGUAAAGAAAGUGCAUUGGUCUUUUCAUGAAUGAUUUUCCUGCACGUAGUCUUACUCCACGGACCACUUGUCUCUUCCGGGUAUAAGUUAUUCAACAAUCUCAAUUUCCCACAGUCUACGAUUCUUUUCAUCACCUUUGAUAAAAAAACAUCACCCUUUCUUAGCUCUCUCUCUUUCCCGUCAUAUGUUAAAUUAUGCCUUCCGCGAAGUGCUCACAUGUAUUCUCGUCUCCAUCGUUGCCACAACGCGUCCUUACAUUUCUUCAAAUACUUUGUCCUCUUUCGCAGGUCUCGUUCUUCUAUAUCCUCAGGUGAUAACUCCAUCAGAUAUUUAGCUUUACCGAAAAUCAUCACGUUCGGCGUCAACACGGGAAGCUGAACGUCAUCCCCGCUGUACGAUUGUGGUCGAUUGUUCAAUACGAGCUGGAUAUCUAUAGCAUCAUGUCUUGCAAUUCUUUGAAUGUAAAUUUUGCCGAUCCUACGAUCUUGUAAAGACCUUGUUUCACUAUGCUAACCAUUCGUUCAAACAUUCCACCCCAUCAGCUAGUUUCGCUUAGAUUGAACUGCCAUUUCACUCCAUGUUCAUUCAGAUGCCUUGUAACUUUUCGUUCCGUACGACUUUCUUGAUCGAUCCAUUUGGUAGCAGCCAUAAAAGUCUUUCUAUUAUCGGAUAUGAUCUUCUUCGGACGACCUGUUGCGGCGAUAAAUCUUAAGUCAUCGGGAAUUCUUCACGGCUCAUGUUUGGCAGAAUCUACAAGUGAACUCCUGUAGCUACACUGCACGUAUAGAUGACCAUAUACAACUUACGAUCAGCUCCCCAAUUUCCCUUGUAAUAGAUCGGUACGGCAUAGUUGACACCAGUUACUUGAAGGGAAUUUCACCUUCAGUUCGUUCUUUUGGAUGAUUCCCCUGAGGUGGAACGGGCAUUGGCGUUGUGUAAAAUCGUUUACACCCAUAGCAUUUGCCAAUAACUUUCUUCACAAUAACUUUCUUCACACCCAAUUGGCCACGAAUUGUUUAUAUCUUCCCUGACCUUGGAUCCAUUGAAAACAGACAGCAAUGUGUAUAUGACUACGAACUUUGAAUGUGUUGUGUAGGAGGUUAUUUAGCAUGUGGCAAAUCACUAACUCCAGGCGCGGAAUAGUCAAGUCCGUUUGACCAGUCUUGUUUUCGAAAUGAGAUUUGGAACAGCCUAAUGCAAGAAGUUUGGUCUGCGAUGGUGUUGUCCCUAGACUUUCCUUCGCAUAGGUAGUUUCUCCAUCUUUCUUUACAUCACUUUCUAAUUCUGCGGCGUUCGAAUGCCAUUUAUGUAAGUGGAAACCACCUUCUCAUAGGAUUUUCACAGCAUCUUCUUUGAAUUCUCUCGUUUCUUCCAAUGUGUCGCUUGCAAUGUUUAUAUCGUCCACGUAUGUACCGUCUUUAAGUUCUCAAACACAAACCGGAUAAUCUUGUGGGUAUUUCUCUAGACGAACGUUCAAUAUCCAUCGAAGAAUGAAUGGACUUGGACCCACACCAAACAUAAGUCUUGUCAUGCGGUAAAUCUUCUCUUCUCUGCUGUGCAAGUUAGUUAUCCACAGGAACCUUAAAGUGCCUAUAUCACUCGUGGGAUCUUUACGGAUUUGAUAAGAGCAGAAAAAGUUAUUUUAGAAGUUCUUCAACCUUUUUUGAUUUAGUUCAAUAGUCUCUGAGAUAUAGGCCCUCAAACAUGGUAAUUUUGACCAUUUUUGGAAAAAAUCUAUGGUGCUUGGGGGCCUGGGACUCAGGCCGCUGACAUAAUCUGAUAUGAUCGCGGACUGGGGUCACAGAACGCCCGGGAUAAAUUGACUACCAGACCAUUGAUCGAUUGCUUCGUCGCUCUUGUCGGUAUCUAACUUUAAACCUUGUAUAGUUUUUAAAUCGUACGCUUCGUCCAGCUUGGUUUUAAGCAACGUAUAUUGUCUGUUUAUUUUGUCGCUUCCGGCUCAAUUCUAGAGUAUCAGCCGUAGAUCGGUUAAAUUAAGCGAGCUUUCUCAACAACAAUUUGAAUUUGGCUUUUGUUGACUCGAUGUCGUUAUGUGCCAUCGUUUUUCAUCCUUGUGCUUCGACGUCAUUUCGCGAUUGUCGUGUUAUUAUCUCGAUCUCUAUAUUUGUUUACAUAUACCGCGUAAUUUUGCUUUAACUCGAUUUUUGUGUAAAUAUCCCGUUUCACGUUUGUCACAAUAUUCCGUUUAUUACGUUUUAAUCCCGUCUAGAGGUGCCCUUUGCGGUAGAUUUUUGUUUGAUCCCCACAGUAAGAGAAGUUAUGCGUUAUAAGUCGUGUUUUGUAUUAAAUCCCUUCCCCAAAUCGCUCUCUGUUCAGUGUGAACAGGUUUUUUCAGGGGCAAUUAGCACAUCCGGCUUCAUAAAAUUACUGCAUUGGGCCAAAAAUUAUCACGGUACCUCUUACCAGCGGAUCAUGUUUCACACUCUUGGUGAUCUCUUCCUUUGGUGUCUAGAUUGCUUCUGAAUUUCCGUUUGGGAUUUUUUAAUAACUUUAAAACUUACAAAAUUCAAUAUAAAUAUAAUAAAGAUAAAGCCAAGUCUGUUCUGAGCAUAUUUUCUGCCAAUAAGAAGUUUGUUUGCCAUAAAAAGCUCUAGUUCAGGUAGUUGUCGUUUGUGUUGUUCACGCCAUGGAACUUUUGAAUCGAACAUACAGUGUAAUAAGUGCGGACGCUGUUAUAUUUCGAACGCAGGAAGAGCGACGCAUAUACGAGCGGACAAGUGCAGGGAAUGAGAAAGAACAACCAUUGACAUCUCA
Molecule: long non-coding RNA, 3594 nt
Filed under: Paramuricea clavata
Lineage: Eukaryota; Metazoa; Cnidaria; Anthozoa; Malacalcyonacea; Plexauridae
Source: RNAcentral